This 106-nucleotide unclassified non-coding RNA is filed under the name uncultured fungus. Its description in RNAcentral is "sequence contains ITS1". Lineage: Eukaryota; Fungi. The record is from RNAcentral.
UUGUUUUCUUUUUGGUAUGUUUUCCUUCGGGACGUCCGCGUGAGACGGUGCACAUGUGUGGGUUUUGUGAUCUCUAAUGAUCCUUCCGCAGGUUCACCUACGGAAA